UACAGAGGGGGCAAGCGUUGUUCGGAAUUACUGGGCGUAAAGGGCGCGUAGGCGGCCUCUUAAGUCGAACGUGAAAUCCCCGGGCUCAACCCGGGAACUGCGUCCGAUACUGGGAGGCUUGAAUCCGGGAGAGGGAUGUGGAAUUCCAGGUGUAGCGGUGAAAUGCGUAGAUAUCUGGAGGAACACCGGUGGCGAAGGCGGCUCACUGGCCCGGUACUGACGCUGAGGCACGAAAGCGUGGGGAGCAAACAGG
RNAcentral lists this ribosomal RNA (253 nucleotides) under uncultured bacterium. Its description in RNAcentral is "partial 16S ribosomal RNA". It matches the Rfam family "Bacterial small subunit ribosomal RNA", at positions 524 to 776 of the family's 1533-position model. The record is from RNAcentral.